Polypterus senegalus (gray bichir) is the source of this 1251-nucleotide long non-coding RNA. RefSeq lists it as uncharacterized. The record is from RefSeq and is a predicted model, not a curated record. The transcript is spliced from 4 exons. NCBI's taxonomy places the organism in Eukaryota, Metazoa, Chordata, Cladistia, Polypteriformes, Polypteridae.
AGAAAAUAAAAGUUUGCUUGGUGACAUGAGCUUGUCUGCCUGUCUGUGUCCAGGGCAAUGUUAACACUGUGUAUGACUUUGCACGAGGUCUUGCAACACAUGGAAAUUUACGCAUGCCAUCUUCAAUCCCAUUCCAACCACAUAAAAGAAGACUUGCCAAAUCAACGCAGGAAAACAUUGACUCAGCAAAGCAGGGUAGACUGAAGAUAUCUCUUCCUUGGUUGACUGAGAAGUCAGAAAAUCCAAGCCAACAAAGCCACUUAGUCAAGCUGAUCACUAUGUUCUUUACGACAGACUGCACGAGUCCAACACAAAAGACCCUCAGGAUGUAUUGAGACAAAUUAACUUGGUUCCAGAGCUACGAGGAUGGCUAAACAGUCAAGUUGUGCUGCAGUUCUUUGCAAACUUACGGAAAAGCAACUACUUUCUCAACAAUAUGGCAGCCUCAACACACAUUUUCAUGAUACGCAACAUAGUCCAUUACAAAAAAACAACAACAAACAAGAAGAUUUUGGAGCUCCAGUUACAGCGUGGACACAGAUCUCAUGACAUUGCAAACAUCACCUUCUCUGACUUAGGAUAAGCAAUAGUAGGUUAGUAGACAUCAGCAGACCUCUAUCAUGUGUUAUGUAUCUUAUAAUUGUUCAUGACUUACUUUAAAUUAUGUCCUAAUUUCUCUAGCAACACUGGCAAGUCAAAAGGCAUCAAGUCUGUCAAGAUGUACUACCUCUGUACACGAACAUGUAGAGGAGUCACUGGAGUCGAGUGCUGAAACAGGCAAAACACCAUGUGGACUUUGGUGUGAAGCAAUAACAAAUUGUCAAAAUAUUUCUGCAUGUCGUGCAAGCUGGACCUUACAGUAUCACCCGACUCUAAAAGAACUGCUGGACUAUGUACUUGACACUGAGAGACCAGGAACAGAACUUAUUGUUGGAACCACAAAAGCAUGUCUUACUCGUGCUGACUUUAGGAGCCUGGGCCCGUACAAAGUUUUUUACAGGUCCUGACGAACAUUGAGAAGAUCAUCGGGGAGUUGGGAGCAGCAGCCAAAGCGCCGUUGGAGAAGGUUUACACGGGAGUGUCAGCUGCAUCAUCGGGGCCCGACCUUUGGAUCUCCUUGGGGGAAGAUGUUCCUUGUGGGACAGGAUGCGCAAAACCCUGGUUUUCUGCUUGGGGAGGAGUACUGUGGUCUUUGGCCGGCUUUUCAUCCCGGCCAAUACCCCCAGGCCGCCAGAUGGAGCCCUCCCUGCA